GGGCUCGCAGGCGGUUUCUUAAGUCUGAUGUGAAAGCCCCCGGCUCAACCGGGGAGGGUCAUUGGAAACUGGGGAACUUGAGUGCAGAAGAGGAGAGUGGAAUUCCACGUGUAGCGGUGAAAUGCGUAGAGAUGUGGAGGAACACCAGUGGCGAAGGCGACUCUCUGGUCUGUAACUGACGCUGAGGAGCGAAAGCGUGGGGAGCGAACAGGAUUAGAUACCCUGGUAGUCCACGCCGUAAACGAUGAGUGCUAAGUGUUAGGGGGUUUCCGCCCCUUAGUGCUGCAGCUAACGCAUUAAGCACUCCGCCUGGGGAGUACGGUCGCAAGACUGAAACUCAAAGGAAUUGACGGGGGCCCGCACAAGCGGUGGAGCAUGUGGUUUAAUUCGAAGCAACGCGAAGAACCUUACCAGGUCUUGACAUCCUCUGACAAUCCUAGAGAUAGGACGUCCCCUUCGGGGGCAGAGUGACAGGUGGUGCAUGGUUGUCGUCAGCUCGUGUCGUGAGAUGUUGGGUUAAGUCCCGCAACGAGCGCAACCCUUGAUCUUAGUUGCCAGCAUUCAGUUGGGCACUCUAAGGUGACUGCCGGUGACAAACCGGAGGAAGGUGGGGAUGACGUCAAAUCAUCAUGCCCCUUAUGACCUGGGCUACACACGUGCUACAAUGGACAGAACAAAGGGCAGCGAAACCGCGAGGUUAAGCCAAUCCCACAAAUCUGUUCUCAGUUCGGAUCGCAGUCUGCAACUCGACUGCGUGAAGCUGGAAUCGCUAGUAAUCGCGGAUCAGCAUGCCGCGGUGAAUACGUUCCCG
RNAcentral lists this ribosomal RNA (811 nucleotides) under Bacillus subtilis. RNAcentral's name for it is "bacterial SSU rRNA". It matches the Rfam family "Bacterial small subunit ribosomal RNA", at positions 565 to 1376 of the family's 1533-position model. The record is from RNAcentral. Lineage: Bacteria; Bacillati; Bacillota; Bacilli; Caryophanales; Bacillaceae.